GAAAAAACCAAAAAAAAAAAAAAAAAAAACGGCAGCCCUGCUUCAGAAAAGUCAAAAUUACGAGAAACACUCAAAAAUCUGAGAAUGCGUAUUGCACAACAUAUUUGACGCGCAAAAUAUCUCGUAGCGAAAACUACAGUAUCCCCCCUUUAAAUUACUACUGUAGCGCCGCUGGUGUCGAUUUACGGGCUUAAUUUUGAUAUCCGAUCAAAAAUCGGGCUCGUAAAUCGACACAAGCGCUACAGUAGUCAUUAACAGGAUUACUGUAGUUUUCGGUACGACGAGAUAUUUUGCGCGCGUCAAAUAUGUUGUGCAGUACGCAUUCUCAAAAUUUUAUGUUACCGUAAUAAACAUUCUAGAACCGUUUUAAAAUUUUCGCGUUGUAAAAAUCUGGAAAUUCUUCUUUUUCCAGAAAUUCUCGCCCUCCAACACCACCGUCCUGCCGCCGAUACGGAAUGGAACUCCGACGCUCCGAUCGUCAUCGAGACCUCUCGUGGCUUCAACGUGACGGUUCAACUGCGGAAUUUGUGCAGCUCAAACUACCACGGAAAACGCUGCAAUCGAUAUUGUAUCGCGAAUGCGAAGCUUCACUGGGAGUGCUCAACACACGGAGUCCGCCGAUGCUCCGCCGGAUGGUCUGGUGAAGAUUGUUCAAAUCCGAUCUGCGCCGGCGGUUGCAGCAAUCGUGGCAGAUGUGUGGCACCGAACCAAUGCUCGUGCGCCGACGGAUUCAACGGAACUCGCUGUGAGCAGUGCCUACCACGCGCGGGAUGUGUCAACGGAGACUGUGUUAACGAGACGCCGAACACGUGCAAGUGUAGAGACGGUUUUAUUGGUGAUCGGUGUGAUAUUGACAUCAAAAUCUGCUCUCUCGAAAAACCGUGUGCAAACGGUGGAAUCUGUUCAAUUGACUCGUCAUCGUCGACCGGCUACAAAUGUCAUUGCCCAUUCGAAUUCGUCGGCUCUCAAUGCAAAACACCGCUGAGCAAAGUUCGGUGCUCCGCGGAGCACGUUUGUAAGAAUGGAGGCGCUUGCAUCUCAAUGGACGACACAAAUAUUCAGUGCAAGUGCCGUCGCGGAUUUUCGGGAAAAUUCUGUGAAAUUGGAAAUCACGGGGAUUGCUCGGCGAUGCGGUGCUCCGCCGGAGAGACGUGCCAAAUUAGUGGAGAUUUUGCGAUUUGUGUGGAAAAUGAUGAGCUACUACUGACAACUAAUAAGCCUGCUGAAACGACGAAAAGCGUUGAAAAAUGGAGAGAACCCCGAAAAACGGCGAACGACGAGCAAGCCUCGGAUGAGCUUCAACUUCGGCUGAUCGCCGCAAUUUGUGUGCUCUUUUCAGUUUGUGUGAUCGGUCUCGCCUUGGUCAGCUUUUUCUUCUACAUGCACUCAUUCUCCAAGUGGAAACAUCCAUCGUCACAGCAGGCAGGAGGAAGCACAAUUCUUCCAACAACAACAUCAAUUCCAAUGUCUACAACGUCUUCGGGAACUGGAUCUCCUGUUUAUAAAGUGUGCAUAAUCGAUUCGGAGCACCGCGGAAACGCGCCAGGAAGCUCAUCAGAUUCCGAACCCGAUCACCACUGUCCGCCGCCGCACCGACAUUCUCCACCGCCUGCCUACUCGAGUCUCGUCCUGUACAAAAAAGUUCCGAUGGCAGCAGAUGACGAGUCGUCGUUUCGAGUCUAA
RNAcentral lists this unclassified non-coding RNA (1683 nucleotides) under Caenorhabditis elegans. RNAcentral describes it as "Non-coding transcript of protein-coding gene apx-1". The record is from RNAcentral. Lineage: Eukaryota; Metazoa; Nematoda; Chromadorea; Rhabditida; Rhabditidae.